Molecule: ribosomal RNA, 551 nt
Filed under: uncultured archaeon
Lineage: Archaea
Description: bacterial SSU rRNA
Rfam family: Archaeal small subunit ribosomal RNA
Source: RNAcentral
ACGGGGUGCAGUAGGCGCGAAAACUUUACAAUGCGGGAAACCGUGAUAAGGGAAUCUCGAGUGCCAGCAUAUAAUGUUGGCUGUCCAGAUGCCUAAAAAGCAUCUGUUAGCAGGGGCCGGGCAAGACCGGUGCCAGCCGCCGCGGUAACACCGGCGGCCCGAGUGGUAACCGCUUUUAUUGGGUCUAAAGGGUCUGUAGCCGGCCAAGUAAGUCCCUUGGGAAAUCUGGCAGCUUAACUGUCAGGCUGCUAGGGGAUACUGCUGGGCUUGGGACCGGGAGAGGUGAGAGGUACCUUGGGGGUAGGGGUGAAAUCUUGUGAUCCUCGGGGGACCACCAGUGGCGAAGGCGUCUCACCAGAACGGGUCCGACGGUAAGGGACGAAAGCUAGGGGCACGAACCGGAUUAGAUACCCGGGUAGUCCUAGCCGUAAACGAUGCUCGCUAGGUGUCAGUCACGGUGCGACCGUGAUUGGUGCCGUAGGGAAGCCGUGAAGCGAGCCACCUGGGAAGUAUGGCCGCAAGGCUGAAACUUAAAGGAAUUGGCGGGGGAG